Non-coding RNA from Oryza brachyantha (malo sina), 208 nucleotides. NCBI's taxonomy places the organism in Eukaryota, Viridiplantae, Streptophyta, Magnoliopsida, Poales, Poaceae. The record is from Rfam.
ACGAAUCGUAUUUUUCGUUUUUUCGUGUCCAACGUUUGUCCAUUCAUCUUAUUUAAAAAAUGUGUAUAAAACUUUAAAAAAUUAGUCACGUAUAAAGUAUUAUUCAUAUUUUAUCAUCUAGUAACAAUUAAAAAUAUUAAUCGUAAAAAAAUUUCAAAUAAAAUAAAUGGUCAAACGUUGGACAUGGAAAAACAAAAAUAAGUUUAUU